CUGCGUAGAGAUGAGUCAUGAUCUAAAGGUACAAUUUAUACUCAGUGAGAUAGACUAUGAUCAGGAUCUGAUUAUAAGAUAUUUUAUUUAUUUAUAUGAUUUGAUAUUUAAAAUAACCUAUGACUAUAUAGGGGCAGAUCAAAAUCUAUAUCCAGUGAGAUAGCUUAUGAUCGAAGAUCAAUCAUAGCUUUAACAAUUACAUAAUAAAGAACUAAUUUAUAUU
Molecule: long non-coding RNA, 223 nt
Filed under: Elaeis guineensis (African oil palm)
Lineage: Eukaryota; Viridiplantae; Streptophyta; Magnoliopsida; Arecales; Arecaceae
Description: long non-coding RNA (EGUI_LNC052592)
Source: RNAcentral